UACGAAGGGGACUAGCGUUGUUCGGAAUCACUGGGCGUAAAGCGCACGUAGGCGGAUGUGUCAGUCAGGGGUGAAAUCCCGGGGCUCAACCUCGGAACUGCCUUUGAUACAGCACGUCUCGAGUCCGGAAGAGGUGGGUGGAAUUCCUAGUGUAGAGGUGAAAUUCGUAGAUAUUAGGAAGAACACCGGUGGCGAAGGCGGCCCACUGGUCCGGUACUAACGCUGAGGUGCGAAAGCGUGGGGAGCAAACAGG
Molecule: ribosomal RNA, 253 nt
Filed under: uncultured bacterium
Lineage: Bacteria
Description: partial 16S ribosomal RNA
Rfam family: Bacterial small subunit ribosomal RNA
Source: RNAcentral